AAGAAUAGAAGAUUACAUUACUUGCCUCUUCAAGAUGUCUAAAGAGGUUGAAAUACUAGUGGUGCCAAGAUCAAUGGCAUCCCUUUCUUCGAUAAAGAAAAUCAAUGGCAUCCUUGUGGAAGUGUCUUCACCAGUUCCUACCGUUUCUUUAUUGUGUAACAAGGAAAAUAAACCUUGGUACAUAUUGGAUUUGUAUGAAAGAUAAGAAACUAUGGAUAAACAUAUUGUACUAUGUAUACUAAUUAUUAUAUAGAAAUAUGAUGGUUCAUCCUAAAGGCUAAAUGAUACAAUAUUUAUGAUGGUUUAUCCACAAGCCUAAAGGACAUAAUUAUGAUGAUAAUGUUUUAACUGAAAGACUUUCGAAGAUCAGGAUCUUAAGUUUAUCCCUUUUUAGAAAUAAGAGAAGAUAGUAGUAUAGACUUAGGUUUUAAUUUAUUUCAUGUCUUUCCACUUUUCAACUAUUUGUAAAACUUCC
RNAcentral lists this long non-coding RNA (475 nucleotides) under Medicago truncatula (barrel medic). RNAcentral describes it as "long non-coding RNA (MTRU_LNC000018)". Lineage: Eukaryota; Viridiplantae; Streptophyta; Magnoliopsida; Fabales; Fabaceae. The record is from RNAcentral.